This 492-nucleotide ribosomal RNA is filed under the name uncultured bacterium. RNAcentral's name for it is "partial 16S ribosomal RNA". It matches the Rfam family "Bacterial small subunit ribosomal RNA", at positions 29 to 507 of the family's 1533-position model. The record is from RNAcentral.
AGUGAACGCUGGCGGUAGGCCUAACACAUGCAAGUCGAACGGCAGCACAGUAAGAGCUUGCUCUUACGGGUGGCGAGUGGCGGACGGGUGAGGAAUACAUCGGAAUCUACUUUUUCGUGGGGGAUAACGUAGGGAAACUUACGCUAAUACCGCAUACGUCCUACGGGUGAAAGCAGGGGAUCUUCGGACCUUGCGCGAUUGAAUGAGCCGAUGUCGGAUUAGCUAGUUGGCGGGGUAAAGGCCCACCAAGGCGACGAUCCGUAGCUGGUCUGAGAGGAUGUUCAGCCACACUGGAACUGAGACACGGUCCAGACUCCUACGGGAGGCAGCAGUGGGGAAUAUUGGACAAUGGGCGCAAGCCUGAUCCAGCCAUACCGCGUGGGUGAAGAAGGCCUUCGGGUUGUAAAGCCCUUUUGUUGGGAAAGAAAAGCAGCAGGUUAAUACCCCGCUGUUCUGACGGUACCCAAAGAAUAAGCACCGGCUAACUUCGUG